RNAcentral lists this transfer RNA (70 nucleotides) under Samariscus latus (deep-body righteye flounder). RNAcentral's name for it is "tRNA-Gly". It matches the Rfam family "tRNA". From Rfam's summary of the family: Transfer RNA (tRNA) molecules are approximately 80 nucleotides in length. Their secondary structure includes four short double-helical elements and three loops (D, anti-codon, and T loops). Further hydrogen bonds mediate the characteristic L-shaped molecular structure. tRNAs have two regions of fundamental functional importance: the anti-codon, which is responsible for specific mRNA codon recognition, and the 3' end, to which the tRNAs corresponding amino acid is attached (by aminoacyl-tRNA synthetases). tRNAs cope with the degeneracy of the genetic code in two manners: having more than one tRNA (with a specific anti-codon) for a particular amino acid; and 'wobble' base-pairing, i.e. permitting non-standard base-pairing at the 3rd anti-codon position. Lineage: Eukaryota; Metazoa; Chordata; Actinopteri; Pleuronectiformes; Samaridae. The record is from RNAcentral.
AUUUUUUUAGUACUAAGUAGUAUAAGUGGCUUCCAACCUCAUGGUCUUGGUUAAAAUCCAAGAAAAAAUA